ACGGGAGGCAGCAGUGGGGAAUAUUGCACAAUGGGCGAAAGCCUGAUGCAGCAACGCCGCGUGAGCGAUGAAGGCCUUCGGGUCGUAAAGCUCUGUCCUCAAGGAAGAUAAUGACGGUACUUGAGGAGGAAGCCCCGGCUAACUACGUGCCAGCAGCCGCGGUAAUACGUAGGGGGCUAGCGUUAUCCGGAAUUACUGGGCGUAAAGGGUGCGUAGGUGGUUUCUUAAGUCAGAGGUGAAAGGCUACGGCUCAACCGUAGUAAGCCUUUGAAACUGGGAAACUUGAGUGCAGGAGAGGAGAGUGGAAUUCCUAGUGUAGCGGUGAAAUGCGUAGAUAUUAGGAGGAACACCAGUUGCGAAGGCGGCUCUCUGGACUGUAACUGACACUGAGGCACGAAAGCGUGGGGAGCAAACAGGAUUAGAUACCCUGGUA
This 433-nucleotide ribosomal RNA is filed under the name uncultured Peptostreptococcaceae bacterium. RNAcentral describes it as "bacterial SSU rRNA". It matches the Rfam family "Bacterial small subunit ribosomal RNA", at positions 341 to 792 of the family's 1533-position model. Lineage: Bacteria; Bacillati; Bacillota; Clostridia; Peptostreptococcales; Peptostreptococcaceae. The record is from RNAcentral.